ACUCCUACGGGAGGCAGCAGUAGGGAAUCUUCCACAAUGGGCGCAAGCCUGAUGGAGCAACACCGCGUGAGUGAAGAAGGGUUUCGGCUCGUAAAGCUCUGUUGUUAAAGAAGAACACGUAUGAGAGUAACUGUUCAUACGUUGACGGUAUUUAACCAGAAAGUCACGGCUAACUACGUGCCAGCAGCCGCGGUAAUACGUAGGUGGCAAGCGUUAUCCGGAUUUAUUGGGCGUAAAGAGAGUGCAGGCGGUUUUCUAAGUCUGAUGUGAAAGCCUUCGGCUUAACCGGAGAAGUGCAUCGGAAACUGGAUAACUUGAGUGCAGAAGAGGGUAGUGGAACUCCAUGUGUAGCGGUGGAAUGCGUAGAUAUAUGGAAGAACACCAGUGGCGAAGGCGGCUACCUGGUCUGCAACUGACGCUGAGACUCGAAAGCAUGGGUAGCGAACAGGAUUAGAUACCCCGUGGUAGGAUAGCG
RNAcentral lists this ribosomal RNA (475 nucleotides) under uncultured bacterium. RNAcentral's name for it is "bacterial SSU rRNA". It matches the Rfam family "Bacterial small subunit ribosomal RNA", at positions 335 to 801 of the family's 1533-position model. The record is from RNAcentral.